UCCAUCGAGACAUCGAUCUACAGUGAGAUCCGUUAUAACGAGACGUGAUAAGGUGCACGCGUACCGAGCGAAAAUUCAAAGUCGAUUUUCUCGAAAACAAAGCCUCAAACGAAAAAUGUUUAUUCUAUAUUUUCGACUUCUUUUUUCGCGUAGAAUCACCCCUUUCCGCUUGUACCGCCAGUUACCAACCACCCUGUAUAUAUGUACUAAGUGAACUUAUUUGCCAACCUAAUAUAAAAGUAUUAAAUAUAUGUGUACAUACCUAAUUUGGAAGUUGCAUUUUUAUUACCAUUUUGUUGGCAAUAAUAAUACAUGGUUAAUAUUAGUCCAUAAUUAAUAUUCAUUUAAACAAUAUUUGAUAAAAUUGAACAACUAUUACGACGAUUCGAUGAUUUUUAAAUAUGUUUGUCGGGAGCAUAGUUUUGAAUAACUUUUUCCUAUACGUGUAACCGUUGGUCGGUCAUAGUUUCCGAGUAUUUGCAAAAGUUAUUGAUACCCCAUAAAGUUGCGUCCGUGACUGCAUACGAAUUAGUAUACAUUCCUGGCAGCGUUCCAGCGGCGGGUAUAAUAACCCACCCGAAACAUGGCUCUUAUCUUUUAUUUACCGCAUAUAUAAGCGAGAAUUGUGCAAGCUUGAGUAUAGCUUCGUACACAACUGCAUAUGCGAGAUUAUAAAAAAUGUUUGGUAUAAUACAAUUAAAAAUGAAUAUCAUCAAUAUAUUGGGUUUGAAUAAUUUGGAUUAUACACUAUAGCAAAUGAUUUCUCAAUGCAAUCUGUUUUUCCUUAAAAGAACGUUUCACUUUUCCUUUUAUUUUAUGCUUUAACAUUUGGAAAGUUUUAUUUUUCUUUUUUUCACGAUUUGUUUUACUACAAAGUGGAUUUUGUCGCCCAUCUUUAUAACCAAAUUUUUCUCUUCCUUCUUGUCCUUUCUGUAAAAAAGCAAAACAAAAACAUAUUAAACUAAAGUAAACAAUAAAUACAUAAAUUAAUUUAGAAAUAUA
Bombus huntii is the source of this 1002-nucleotide long non-coding RNA. RefSeq lists it as uncharacterized. The transcript has 2 exons. NCBI's taxonomy places the organism in Eukaryota, Metazoa, Arthropoda, Insecta, Hymenoptera, Apidae. The record is from RefSeq and is a predicted model, not a curated record.